AAGCGGCAACAGCUCAAAUUUGAAAUCUGGCGCAAGCCCGAGUUGUAAUUUGUAGAGGAUGCUUCUGGGUAGCGGCCGGUCUAAGUUCCUUGGAACAGGACGUCAUAGAGGGUGAGAAUCCCGUAUGUGACUGGCUUGCACCCUCCACGUAGCUCCUUCGACGAGUCGAGUUGUUUGGGAAUGCAGCUCUAAAUGGGAGGUAAAUUUCUUCUAAAGCUAAAUACCGGCCAGAGACCGAUAGCGCACAAGUAGAGUGAUCGAAAGAUGAAAAGCACUUUGGAAAGAGAGUUAAAAAGCACGUGAAAUUGUUGAAAGGGAAGCGCCCGCAACCAGACUUUGCGGCAGUGUUCGGCCGGUCUUCUGACCGGUUUACUCGCUGUCGUGAGGCCAUCAUCGUCUGGGACCGCUGGAUAAGACCUUAGGAAUGUAGCUCCCCUCGGGGAGUGUUAUAGCCUCUGGUGAUGCAGCGCGUCUCGGGCGAGGUCCGCGCUUCGGCAAGGAUGAUGGCGUAAUGGUUGUCGGCGGCCCGUCUUGAAACACGGACCAAGGAGUCUAACAUCUAUGCGAGUGUUCGGGUGUCAAACCCCUACGCGUAAUGAAAGUGAACGGAGGUGGGAACUUUUUGUGCACCAUCGACCGAUCCUGAUGUCCUCGGAUGGAUUUGAGUAAGAGCAUAGCUGUUGGGACCCGAAAGAUGGUGAACUAUGCCUGAAUAGGGUGAAGCCAGAGGAAACUCUGGUGGA
This 743-nucleotide ribosomal RNA is filed under the name Pseudocercospora robusta. RNAcentral describes it as "eukaryotic LSU rRNA". It matches the Rfam family "Eukaryotic large subunit ribosomal RNA", at positions 96 to 871 of the family's 3401-position model. RNAcentral also lists the same sequence under 1 other name. The record is from RNAcentral. Lineage: Eukaryota; Fungi; Ascomycota; Dothideomycetes; Mycosphaerellales; Mycosphaerellaceae.